This 326-nucleotide unclassified non-coding RNA is filed under the name Homo sapiens (human). Its description in RNAcentral is "LY6E divergent transcript (ENSG00000282681.1)". Lineage: Eukaryota; Metazoa; Chordata; Mammalia; Primates; Hominidae. The record is from RNAcentral.
CUACCCCGGCUCCUUGGGAUAGAUGGGGAAGCUGAGGCCCAGAAGGGGGCUGAGACCACCUCCCAGUUUCCCCAGUGAGGUGGCGCCUGAGCCACGGCCAGGCCCGGCCUCCUUCCACCCGGCCCUGCUGUGCGCGCGGCGGGUGCUGACCUGGCGAGGCCGGACAGGGGACCAGGUCGGGGUGACCGUCACUGACACCUGGACAGUCCUCGUUGUGUUCGGGGUGGGAAGCCCACGGUGAGUCUGGGGACCCAAGAUCUUAUUUUCCUUUCUGUCACCCCCGCUUGGUUUUGGAUUCCGUGACAGCUGGACCCGGCUUCUGCGUG